AUAAGUGAUAUACGAUAUUUGUCUUUCUCUGUUGGACUUACUUCUCUAGGUCCAUCCAUGUUGCUGCAAAUGGCAUUAUUUCAUUCUUCAAAAAGUAUCUUUGAUGUUCCAAACAGAAGGGUUAGCGGGUCAAUGACUGCUACUGUGUUAUAUUCAUGAGUAAUUACUAGGUAAUGAUACUUUAUAUGUGAAUAGCAUUUUACAACCAACCAAUUACAAGUUUGAUUGUAUGCUGACGAUUCCCAAACUUGUAUCUCCAAAUCUGUGCCUCCAUCCUGUACUUUAGACUCAGAUGCCAACAGCCUACUCAACACUUCACUUAGAAAUCUAAGAGUUUGAACUUAACAUGUUCAAACUCAGCUCCUUGCCUCACUCUCUCCUUGCCCCACUUCCCCAAAGUACUCCCCCUUCAGCUGUCCCCAACUCAGUUGAUAUAGAUAUAUCACCACUGCAAAUGUCCAAUUAAAAAAAGAAGAAUUCAUCCCUUACUCCAUUUCUGCUUUUUCUAGAGGGGUGUGUGUGUGCCACGUGGCUUGUGGGAUCUUAGUUCCCCGACCAGAGAUCAAACCCGUGCUCCCUGAAGUGGAAGCAUGGAGUCCUAACCACCAGACCGCCAGGGAAUUCCCCAUUUCUACAUUUUAGAAUUGAUUUCUUACUUAGUUUAGAAUUUCCCUUGGAGAACACUUGAAGAGUAAGAGGUAAUUGUGGGAGUUCAGAUUAUAUUUAUCCAUUCUUUGCUGGAUUAUUUAAAGUAGGUAUAUUUAUAUUUUUGAGAACAACUUUUACAUUUACAGUCCAAGGAAUACUCCAGAAACUCAAGGUUUUGGAAUGCCUGAUGUUACUAGCCAGCAGCCAUUUUUGAUUUACAAUCUAUUACAAAUACCUGAGAAAUCACCUUGAAAUUAGUUUCCUGGCAUUCGCACAACUGAUACAGGUCGCUGAUAACAUUUGUUAUUCUGUCACCACUUGCUCCGCCCUUCAAGUUCAGCAAAUGCUUGGUAUAACAUUUCCCAGACUCAAGGCAACUUGUCCUCGUUAAAGAAAUGAAUCUCCAGGGUCUCGUGACAAUCAUGCGUAUCUCUCCAAUAUUUUCCACCAGCAGUGCAGAGUGUAGAAGAAUAUCAUUUGCUACCACAUAGUAGCAAAGUAAGAGUUACAGAUGACUAUGGUGAGGUUACCAUGCUAAUGAGUAGACAAAGUCUUACAUAUAUUAACUUUGCGUAUUAUUAGUUCUCUUUUCUUCUCCACAUAAAAUAUACUUUAGUUUUUUAAUGCAUAAUCUGGUCUAAUCUUAAAUUAUGCUAAUUAAAUUUUGUCCAAACAAACCAAGCCUUUAAAGUCUAAGUAUUCUAAGCUAUGUUUUAUGUUUAGGCAGUUUGUAAGUCUGACCUGAACUUUUGUCCAGAGGGAAUCAUGGAAGAAUACAAAACAGGAGAUGUGUGAUGGAAUCAAUAUUUGAAAUGUUGGCGUCUUACCAUGUAUCUUCCUUCUAAGGAUGUCCUGAGUCGCAGUCUCAGGAAUUCAUGGAUUCCAAGAUCCAUGGAAAAGAUUCUAUGAUAACAAACCGCUUUUGCUUAAUCGGAUGCGUUUUUCUCCAGUCUUUUCCUGCGUGUCUUAGAUGUUUCUGUGAAGGUGUUCACAGAUGUGAUUCACACUUAAAUUGGUCGACUUCGAAUAAAAGCAGAUUGCUCUCCAUCAUGUGCCUGGACCUCAUCCAGUCGGUUGAAGGUCUUAAGAGGAAAGACAGAGGUUGCCUGAAGAAGAAGCAAUUUUGCCUCAAGACUGGAACUAGAAACCCUGCCUGAGUUUCCAGCCUGCUGCCCUGCAGAAUUUGAACUCAAGACCUGUAACAUCACCUCUUGACGGAAUUGCCAGCCUGUGGGCCUGCCUUACAGAUUUCUGACUCGUCAGACCCCACAAUUGUGGCUCAGUUUGCAAGAACUCAUCUGUGCUACCCAGACACUCUGCCCCGGAACCUGGCUCCUUGGAGGAUGGCGUGGCUGGGGCCCCCAGCCAACACUUGAGGUAUGUUCUGUCUUCACCCCCUCCUCUGGGAUCAAGUGCCACAGCCUGGCUUCUGAGUGUUGCCCACUGUCUGGACUCCUCAAUACUGGGGUUACACUUGCAUAUGUCCAGCGUCACACCUGGGCUUGUUUGCCCCAUAGGCUCCAGCUUUAUACAAUCUUGUUGUCAUCACCAUUUCCCGUUUUCAGCUGAGUCAGUUAUUUUCAGCCCCCUGACCCCUUGCUCUAGGAAACUAUUGUUACUGAGUCCAAGCUCAUACUGCUCGCUGAGUGACAGGCCAAUAAAUCAAGGUGUUAGGGCAAGGAAUAGCGACUUUAUUCGGAAAGCCAGCAGACAGAGAAGGUGGCAGGCUAGUGUCCGAAAGAAUCUUACCCAAGUUAGAAUCCAGGCUUCUUUUAUACUAAAAGAGGAGGGAGUAUAGCUGAUAGCUGCAAACAUCUUGGGGUCGGCCAGACCCCAGAAAGGAUGUGAUAGUCCUUUUUUCUAGCAGUUGUCCAGGUAGGUCCAACAAUAAACCUCCAACAUGACAAAUGUUGUUCUCUGUUCUGCAACUUUUUAUCUUUGUGUGAAUGAAAAAUGUCAUACCUUUAAAGGUGAAGCCUGGGAGACAGAGCCUUGAGAAUGGGCUAUCCCAUAUAUUUCAGGCUCUAGGCAACCUUCUUUUACAAAGGUGCAGAGCCAGCAUGACUAAGCACAGGCAGCAGAGCACAAGCUCUCAACCAUUUGGAUGAUUUUUUUUUUUGCAUUUGCAUUUUGCAUAACAUCUGUGCUAUUAUUUGCUUAAUACUUUUCCUUACAUUACCUUGCCUUAAAACAAAAACAAACAUUGUUUUGCUUUGUCUAGGCAAAAGUAUCCUGAAAUCAUAGGUUUGAUGUGUUAUUUAUAUCUUUCCCUAUUACACAUUAACAUAAAUCCAUAACUAUUAACAUAAAACAUUUGUGGACUGUCUAGAAUCACCCUGUAACCCAGAGCACACUUGUACCACACUUUGGGAAAUGCUUACCUCAGGGCUUUGCCUAGAGUCUGCUUACUCCCAUCCCUGCCCUUUCUACCCACACUGCGUGGAUCCUUUGCAUCCAGUGUUAGGACAUAAAUACUUAGAAGUAAUAAAACUCUCUACUUCAUGCCAAGUACGAAGUACGAAUGGGAUUGCGAAGUACGAAUUGCGAAGUACGAAUGGGAUUUCAUUGAUAAAUAACUAAUCAAAGCUAAUGUAAUGUGGUGCUUAAAAGCAGGGUCUCUGGAGAUGAAUUCAAAUUCCAGCUCUGCCACUUACUGUGAAAAUCAUUUGGCCUCUCUCAGGUAGCUCAGAGGACUGUUAUGAAGAUUAAAUAAAUUAAUACAUAUUCAGGGCUUAGAACAGUGUCUGGCCCACGUAAGUGCUAUAUAAAUGUUAGGUAUGAUUAGAAGCUGCAAGUUUUGGCAAUGGGAGUCUAAAGAAAAAAGUAGUCCGUGAGUGUACUAGGUGUCCUUUCCUUUGAGAAAAAGUUGGCUAGGGAAUAGGCGUGUGAUAAUAUUUAUUUAAUCUUGUGGCCAGUACUGCAUGUAUUUAUUACAUCAGUGUAUGAGGGCUUUCUGAAUCAGGUGAGCAGUAUGGAAGGCUCAAAGAUUUAAAAUGGCCUCUGAUUUACUGCAAUUUAGUUGUGCAAACUGGGUAUUCUAUGCAAAUUUGAGGAUAAUCCUUCCCCCACUCUCACACUUCCCCCAUUCUCAAAAAUUUAUUUACGUAGUUUGUUUUUAUUUGAAAACUGAAUAUUUUCACUAAGCACUGGGAGCUGUGCAAAAGUGUGUGUGUGUGUGUGCACGUACGCGCACUGUUUCAGAGAGGUUUUCCAUUAUCAGCAUAGCAAAUAGUUUUUUCUAAAAGUACAAAACUUAAAUAAACUAAUAUGUUUAAUCUAUUAUAACAACUGUUUCCCAGGGUAUAAUAUGAACAUUUUUUCCUAUUUUUGUUUUGAAAUAACUCAAGCAUCAGCUACAUUAUUUUUAAAUGUCUUCAUUAUGUUUAAUUGAAUAACAUUAUCAAUUACAUUUAUGAGGAGUUAACAAAGGAACAGUAAAGCUAAAUUUGAAUAAAACAUCUCUAUUCUAAUUUUGAAACCUAACUGGAAAAAAUGUAUAUUGUAGUACAAUAAAAAUGAAUCAAAUACAUAUCAUCAGUGUUAGGCUGUCUCUGUUAGGAAAACAUUCAUCAAUGUUAAGAAAAGGUAUUCAGCUGAUACUGGAAAACAAAAUUCUCUUAAAAACAACUGCACUUUAUCAUUGCAACACGGUAGAUUUAUACUUCGCAGGUAAAAUGAUCAAAAUUACUUCCUGAAGUUAUUUUAACAGGUUGUAAAUGCUAAGUAAAAUCUUAGGAAAUGACUCAGGAGAUAAGAUUGUAAAGAUUUCUUCCCGAGGCUAUUUUGACAACCCUUAAGGGCCGAAGAGAGAUUUGUGAAAUUCCUUAAUAUGAUCCAGUGGGGAAAGGCUUGGGGUGAGAGCCAGGAUUCUUGACUUCUACUCCAGCUAACAAACUAAAUGGACUUACUUAGCUCAUUAACUUUCAUGCUUAUUCAUUCGGAACAGUCUCAUUGCAGACCUAAUUCAAUAUGCUGUAGUGGGUUUGAAAAUGCCGUGCAGGGACUCCCCUGGCGGUCCAGUGGUUAGGACUCUGCGCGUCCACUGCAGGGGGCCCGGGUUCGAUCCCUGGUCUGGGAAAUAAGGUCCCACAAGCCGAGGGGCGUGGCAAAAAAAAAAAAAAAAAGUAAGUAAAAUGCUGUGCAAGAUUUCCCUAGAUUAUCUAAACAUUUCCAACCUAUAAUUUACUCCGCUGAUAAUUGGUUUUACUGUUAUCUAUAUACAUAUAUAAUAUAUAUAUAUUUCUUUGCAUGCUAAAUGAAUCUCCCAACUUAAGAGAGAGUUGCCAUGUCAUGUUCUACUGCCUGCAUGGAGACCAAUAUUAUGCUGUGCCCCAGGACUGUUGUUCAAAAGUCCUCAUGGUCAUAGCUAAAGAACGGACUGAUUCUCUCUGAAUAACCAAUUGUAGACCCCGGUCCAGAUGGACACACAUCCCACGUCUCUGCUCCGUCUGUCCAGGAGGGUGCCGAGUCUUGAGGAAAAGGCAAAGUGUGUCUGAUGGUCCGGCAAUCUCCAGGAAUUUUCAAAGGAAGUGAUGCUGUUGGAGAGGCUGCCAUGGCGACUGUAGCUGGAAGGUCCAAGUCUUCCAGGUAGAUGGACAUUUGGGUGUUUUCAGAAUCAUAGUUACAGCCAGAAAGGCUCGUGACUUCCCGCACAUUGUCACAGCAUUUCAGAGCAGGGGGCUGGUAGGCCUGGUAGGACACUUUGGUGGUGGUGGUGAUUACUGUCUGCAGGGCUGGAGCAGAUGGCGGGGCCGUCGUGAGGUACCUGCAGGGAAGCUCUGGGUUGUAAUAAGGGCGAGCGGCCACGGCCUGGAACUGUCCAUGGUCAGUGCUCUCCCCAAGGUCAGCUUUUCCAAGAGCUGGUUUCCAGCCAGGCUGUUUACUGGUGAAAUCAAAGCUUCUCUCAAAGCUGCCGUAGGAGUUGAUAUUGUAUUGCAGUGCAUUCAGAUGAACCCAGUCCGUGUCAUCAGGAAUACUGCUGGCAUCUUUAUAAAGGGUGGGAUAAUAUGGGCCUGAAUUUGUGUAACCAGGGCCUGCCAAUUCAUAGCUGCAGGGUGGCCUAGGCAAAAAGAUUCUUGGGUUUGGAUAUUUCUGAAAGGGUGGUACUAUAUCUCCUUGAAAGGCAGCUAGGUCACAGGUAGCUUUGUAAGCAUCCGAGUUUGGAAAGGAAAAGCAAGGCUGCCCUGGAACAGGGAAGCCAGUGUCAGGAAUUAUAUCAAACUCCUCUGGGUUCUCCAGGGAAGGUAUGUUGCUGAAAUGGCCACCGUUAUCUUGAUUCUCUCCUGCCUAAAAAAAUGACACAAAUUUUUAUUUGUAAAUAAAGAUGUAAAUUGCGUGGACACCCUCACCUGUAACAGUCGUCAACCAACCAAAUAACAAGCUUUCGCUUGGUGGGCUGUGUGUUAGGAGCUCAGAAACAUGAUCUGAGCUCAUGGUCUGGGAAUUUCACAGCUUGAGCUCACGCUUGGAUUCCACGCUGCUGAAUUAGGAGAGACCGUGGUAGCCAGGCAGGGUGGGUCUGAGUGGCAGAUGGUCUGUUCUCCCUAUACUACGUGCAUAACAGCAGAGGCUCAGGAGCCUGACGCAGACCUGGGUUCAAAUCCUGACUGUCCCUCAUGCACUGAACAAGUUACUUAACCUCUCUGAGCCUCAGAUUCCUCACUUAAAAAUGGGGCU
Delphinapterus leucas (beluga whale) is the source of this 6324-nucleotide non-coding RNA. NCBI's taxonomy places the organism in Eukaryota, Metazoa, Chordata, Mammalia, Artiodactyla, Monodontidae. The record is from RefSeq and is a predicted model, not a curated record.